AGAAAAUUGUGAAUUUUGCGGUAUGUUUUCCCCCUGGACCUAAAAUAAUAAAACUUAUACAAGUUGCAGUAAUGAAGUUUGAGAAUUAUCUUCAGUUUUAAUUCUUUUUUCUCACUGCAGUACAGUUUUGUUUUCUGAUAAUAGUGACAUGAUUUGAGAGGUCAGCAGGAAGUUGUUUUAAAUCUUUUUUGUUUUCUCCUUGUUAGUGUGAACAUGAUUCUACUCUCCUUAAUCCUUUUGGGAGAAGAAGAAGGGAGCUGGCAGCACCCAGGGAAUUUCAAGGUGGCAUCAGGGAACUCUUUUUCACCAAAACAAAAGAAGGCAUAAAAAUAUCCUGCCUGUAAGAAGAUGAUGAAUUUGUUACUUUUCCUCAGUAUGAGAUGGUGAAACUGAGGCCCAACCAGCUUAAGUGACUUGCCUUGCUUCACACAGGCAAUGAGAUUCAGAGUUAGAAGAGGAACCCAGAUACUCUAAUGAUGAGAAAACCGAAGCUAAGUGAGACAACGUAUACAAAAGUACUUUGAAAGGUAGAUAUGUUAAGCAAAAGAAAGUAUUGCCCACCUUCAUCAUCACUCACGAGGUAAGAUUUUUAAAGGUCAGUAAAAGUAAAUACUUACAAAAGUGUUGCUUCACAAUAUAUAUUUCACUUGGUUUAAUUUUCAGAGCUGACAGUAUAAAUUGGAGGAUUGUCCUUAA
Monodelphis domestica (gray short-tailed opossum) is the source of this 696-nucleotide non-coding RNA. The record is from RefSeq and is a predicted model, not a curated record. NCBI's taxonomy places the organism in Eukaryota, Metazoa, Chordata, Mammalia, Didelphimorphia, Didelphidae.